UCUUCUCCCAACCGGUUCUUCGAUAUCCCUUUGCCAAACUGGAGCCCUCAAGACCGCAAUCCAAACAAGACUCCUCUGGAGUUACAGGCACAGGAAACACGUGUCCAAAGCGAUGCCAAGAGCGAACAUGGCGUUUUUGUCUCUGCUUGCCUCCCUCACCCAUCUGGUGAUGUCACACGUGUGCUUAGCCCACCAUCAGGGCUUUUAAGGAAGAAAAGAGGUACUGUGUCACGCCUUGCUGCAGUGGGUGAUGCUGCGCUCGGUAAAACAAAACCUGUCUGAACACGCUUUGUGUUUUGCUUUCACAGGAUUUGUGCCUCUGUCUGGAAAAGCAUCUCCUGCACUCUCCUGGCCCGGGCAGCUCCAGAGCCGCGUGUGCAGGCGCAACGGAGAGCGAGGAAAUGUUGCAUCUCGCGCUCAGCAGGCGACAAACCAUCUCACCGCCGUUCCCCCACGUGUGGGUGCCGACCGCCAGGCUUUAAUGGCUUCAGUGAUGCCAUCGGCCUGGGCUGGGCUGUGGGGAGCAGACAGCUCUCCUACACGCAAGGAACAGCCAGCGCAGGACUUGCCAUCUGCAUUCAUGCCUGGAGCCCACCCCAGCGAUGAGACGGAGCGAGGGUCGGGACAGAGGGACACUACCUUCCUGUGAGCCCUGGCAGCCUGGCUUCUGCUGCGCCCUGGAAUAUACGUCAGCCAUCGCCGCCUCUGAAGCCGAACGGGGAGAAGCUCCAAGAAGGCAUUUCACAAGCCCCUUCUGCUCCUUGUGGUGAGGAAGAGGAAGGUGUUGAGUGCAGCACAACUCCAAGCAGCUGGGGCUCAGAAGAGGACGUGUCAGCUGGACUGCAGUGUAGUGUGA
Long non-coding RNA from Grus americana (Whooping crane), 856 nucleotides. RefSeq lists it as uncharacterized. The record is from RefSeq and is a predicted model, not a curated record. The transcript has 4 exons. NCBI's taxonomy places the organism in Eukaryota, Metazoa, Chordata, Aves, Gruiformes, Gruidae.